Molecule: non-coding RNA, 512 nt
Organism: Lolium perenne
Lineage: Eukaryota; Viridiplantae; Streptophyta; Magnoliopsida; Poales; Poaceae
Source: RefSeq, a predicted model, not a curated record
AUUGACCUCUCCACUUCUGUCAUGCCCUGUACGGAGCCGUCGGCUGCCUCUCAUCCCCUCCAGUUUACCCGCUUCCACAAUUCCUUCACUCUUGAGAAACUUCAAGAGCAAGAGGCGUUUCGUUUCUUUGUAAUCUCUACGGCAGGAGCCGUGUUUUGCUACAUCAUAUCUUGCUUGAUGGGACUUUGCAUGCACACGGACCAUGAAACUCACUCAUGGAAGUGGGAAUUGGAUACCUAGAAUUCAAAAGAUCAUGUGUGGUUCUGCUGCUGCAGGAUGAUGAUGGCCUCCUUCAUCGGCUCAGGUCCUUGCAUCCCCAUCUUCUUCCCACUCUUUGCAAACAUGGUUAUUUUAGUCUGGUCAUUGGUUAUUCAGCUAUUAGCAGGUUGCUCAAUGCCUCAUCGUGCAAUCAAAAGUGCAAUUAUUUCCAUAGAUUACUUUGUUUUUAAUAUAUAUACUCCAAUAAUCUAGGUGAUGCCUGAUUGUGACCAGAUAUUGGAGAAUGUAUGGAC